Molecule: ribosomal RNA, 253 nt
Filed under: uncultured bacterium
Lineage: Bacteria
Description: partial 16S ribosomal RNA
Rfam family: Bacterial small subunit ribosomal RNA
Source: RNAcentral
UACGUAGGAGGCAAGCGUUGUCCGGAAUUACUGGGCGUAAAGCGCGUGUAGGUGGUGGGACAAGUCUGCUGUGAAAGCGCCUGGCUUAACCGGGCGAGGUCGGCGGAAACUGUCCGACUCGAGGACGGUAGAGGGGGGUGGAAUUCCUGGUGUAGCGGUGAAAUGCGCAGAUAUCAGGAAGAACACCCGUGGCGAAGGCGGCUCUCUGGGACGGUACUGACGCUGAGACGCGAAAGCGUGGGGAGCGAACAGG